AUUGAACGCUGGCGGCAGGCCUAACACAUGCAAGUCGAGCGGAUGAAGGGAGCUUGCUCCUGGAUUCAGCGGCGGACGGGUGAGUAAUGCCUAGGAAUCUGCCUGGUAGUGGGGGAUAACGUCCGGAAACGGGCGCUAAUACCGCAUACGUCCUGAGGGAGAAAGUGGGGGAUCUUCGGACCUCACGCUAUCAGAUGAGCCUAGGUCGGAUUAGCUAGUUGGUGGGGUAAAGUCCUACCAAGGCGACGAUCCGUAACUGGUCUGAGAGGAUGAUCAGUCACACUGGAACUGAGACACGGUCCAGACUCCUACGGGAGGCAGCAGUGGGGAAUAUUGGACAAUGGGCGAAAGCCUGAUCCAGCCAUGCCGCGUGUGUGAAGAAGGUCUUCGGAUUGUAAAGCACUUUAAGUUGGGAGGAAGGGCAGUAAGUUAAUACCUUGCUGUGUUGACGUUACCAACAGAAUAAGCACCGGCUAACUUCGUG
RNAcentral lists this ribosomal RNA (484 nucleotides) under uncultured bacterium. RNAcentral describes it as "partial 16S ribosomal RNA". It matches the Rfam family "Bacterial small subunit ribosomal RNA", at positions 30 to 507 of the family's 1533-position model. The record is from RNAcentral.